RNAcentral lists this long non-coding RNA (211 nucleotides) under Elaeis guineensis (African oil palm). Its description in RNAcentral is "long non-coding RNA (EGUI_LNC008096)". The record is from RNAcentral. Lineage: Eukaryota; Viridiplantae; Streptophyta; Magnoliopsida; Arecales; Arecaceae.
CGUUUCUAUAAGGGAGCCCAGUCAUCCACUCCACUAUCACACCAACAAACUACAACCUGACUUGAAGCACAUCCACAAACAUUGCAUUUAUGCGAUUCUAGUAUUAUAACCACAAAGCAUAAAGAUUCUGCAAUGCCUAACACUCACUUGAUGUUAUAUGAAGCAACUUAAAAAAGAUGACUUGCUUGCCGCCUUGUCCCAACUCUUUUCC